RNAcentral lists this non-coding RNA (26 nucleotides) under Homo sapiens (human). Lineage: Eukaryota; Metazoa; Chordata; Mammalia; Primates; Hominidae. The record is from RNAcentral.
UGAGUGUUUAGAGCUGCCAGAUUUGU